This 497-nucleotide ribosomal RNA is filed under the name uncultured bacterium. Its description in RNAcentral is "partial 16S ribosomal RNA". It matches the Rfam family "Bacterial small subunit ribosomal RNA", at positions 28 to 507 of the family's 1533-position model. The record is from RNAcentral.
GAUGAACGCUGGCGGCGUGCCUAAUACAUGCAAGUCGAGCGAACGGACGAGAAGCUUGCUUCUCUGAUGUUAGCGGCGGACGGGUGAGUAACACGUGGAUAACCUACCUAUAAGACUGGGAUAACUUCGGGAAACCGGAGCUAAUACCGGAUGAUAUUUUGAACCGCAUGGUUCAAAAGUGAAAGACGGUCUUGCUGUCACUUAUAGAUGGAUCCGCGCUGCAUUAGCUAGUUGGUAAGGUAACGGCUUACCAAGGCAACGAUGCAUAGCCGACCUGAGAGGGUGAUCGGCCACACUGGAACUGAGACACGGUCCAGACUCCUACGGGAGGCAGCAGUAGGGAAUCUUCCGCAAUGGGCGAAAGCCUGACGGAGCAACGCCGCGUGAGUGAUGAAGGUCUUCGGAUCGUAAAACUCUGUUAUUAGGAAAGAACAUAUGUGUAAGUAACUGUGCCCAUCUUGACGGUACCUAAUCAAAAAGCCACGGCUAACUACGUG